AUUGAACGCUGGCGGCAGGCCUAACACAUGCAAGUCGAACGGAGUGGCGGACGGGUGAGUAAUGUCUGGGAAACUGCCUGAUGGAGGGGGAUAACGUCCGGAAACGGGCGCUAAUACCGCAUACUAUCAGAUCAGCCUAGGUCGGAUUAGCUAGUUGGUGGGGUAAAGGCCUACUAAGGCGACGAUCCGUAACUGGUCUGAGAGGAUGAUCAGUCACACUGGAACUGAGACACGGUCCAGACUCCUACGGGAGGCAGCAGUAGGGAAUAGUGGACAAUGGGCGAAAGCCUGAUCCAGACAUGCCGCGUGUGUGAAGAAGGUCUUCGGAUUGUAAAGCACUGUAAGUUGGGAGGCGUUACCAACAGAAUAAGCACCGGCUAACUACGUGCCAGCCGCCGCGGUAAUAC
RNAcentral lists this ribosomal RNA (407 nucleotides) under uncultured bacterium. RNAcentral's name for it is "partial 16S ribosomal RNA". It matches the Rfam family "Bacterial small subunit ribosomal RNA", at positions 30 to 526 of the family's 1533-position model. The record is from RNAcentral.